This 253-nucleotide ribosomal RNA is filed under the name uncultured bacterium. RNAcentral describes it as "partial 16S ribosomal RNA". It matches the Rfam family "Bacterial small subunit ribosomal RNA", at positions 524 to 776 of the family's 1533-position model. The record is from RNAcentral.
GACGAACCGUGCAAACGUUGUUCGGAAUCACUGGGCUUAAAGGGCGCGUAGGCGGGCCACCAAGUCCGGGGUGAAAUCUUUCGGCUCAACCGGAAAAUUGCCUUGGAUACUGGUGGUCUGGAGGGAGGUAGGGGCAUGUGGAACUUCCGGUGGAGCGGUGAAAUGCGUUGAUAUCGGAAGGAACGCCGGUGGCGAAAGCGACGUGCUGGACCUCUUCUGACGCUGAGGCGCGAAAGCUAGGGGAGCGAACGGG